RNAcentral lists this ribosomal RNA (253 nucleotides) under uncultured bacterium. RNAcentral's name for it is "partial 16S ribosomal RNA". It matches the Rfam family "Bacterial small subunit ribosomal RNA", at positions 524 to 776 of the family's 1533-position model. The record is from RNAcentral.
UACGAGUGCCCCGAGCGUUAUCCGGAAUCAUUGGGCGUAAAGGGUGUGUAGGUGGCAGUGUUAGUCGGUUGUUAAAACCUGGGGCUCAACCCCAGAUCCGCGACCGAAACGGCACAGCUAGAGGAUGGCAGGGAUGUAUGGAACUCAUGGAGUAGGGGUGAAAUCCGUUGAUAUCAUGGGGAACACCAAAAGCGAAGGCAGUACAUUGGGCCACUCCUGACACUGAAACACGAAAGCGUGGGUAGCGAAUGGG